GACGUUUCNGGCCUCCCGCUAUCAGAUGAGCCUAGGUCGGAUUAGCUAGUUGGUGAGGUAANGGCUCACCAAGGCGACGAUCCGUAACUGGUCUGAGAGGAUGAUCAGUCACAUUGGGACUGAGACACGGUCCAGACUCCUACGGGAGGCAGCAGUGGGGAAUAUUGGACAAUGGGGGAAACCCUGAUCCAGCCAUGCCGCGUGUGUGAAGAAGGUCUUCGGAUUGUAAAGCACU
RNAcentral lists this ribosomal RNA (235 nucleotides) under uncultured bacterium. Its description in RNAcentral is "partial 16S ribosomal RNA". It matches the Rfam family "Bacterial small subunit ribosomal RNA", at positions 197 to 434 of the family's 1533-position model. The record is from RNAcentral.